Molecule: small nucleolar RNA, 135 nt
Filed under: Catagonus wagneri (Chacoan peccary)
Lineage: Eukaryota; Metazoa; Chordata; Mammalia; Artiodactyla; Tayassuidae
Description: Small nucleolar RNA SNORA70 (ENSCWAG00000011325.1)
Rfam family: Small nucleolar RNA SNORA70
About the family: snoRNA U70 seems to be exclusive to mammals and is a member of the H/ACA class of snoRNA which contain H (ANANNA) and ACA box motifs. H/ACA box snoRNAs are involved in the conversion of uridines to pseudouridines (5-ribosyluracil) a constituent of structural RNAs (transfer, ribosomal, small nuclear, and small nucleolar).
Source: Rfam by way of RNAcentral
UUGCAGCCAGUUAAGCCCACCAUGCUCUUUUCCCCGUGGGAGCCCAGUGUGCAACGGCUGCAAAUGUCAGCCUCCUCAGUAGUGUAAGCAGCCUGCUGGCCGAGUGGGUUGACCUAAGGGACCUAGGAGACAGAC